RNAcentral lists this ribosomal RNA (1101 nucleotides) under Listeria monocytogenes. RNAcentral's name for it is "partial 23S ribosomal RNA". It matches the Rfam family "Bacterial large subunit ribosomal RNA", at positions 408 to 1509 of the family's 2925-position model. The record is from RNAcentral. Lineage: Bacteria; Bacillati; Bacillota; Bacilli; Caryophanales; Listeriaceae.
CUGAGUACGGCGGAACACGUGAAAUUCCGUCGGAAUCCGGGAGGACCAUCUCCCAAGGCUAAAUACUCCCUAGUGACCGAUAGUGAACCAGUACCGUGAGGGAAAGGUGAAAAGCACCCCGGAAGGGGAGUGAAACAGUUCCUGAAACCGUGUGCCUACAAGUAGUUAGAGCCCGUUAAUGGGUGAUAGCGUGCCUUUUGUAGAAUGAACCGGCGAGUUACGAUUUGUUGCAAGGUUAAGCGGAAAAAGCGGAGCCGUAGCGAAAGCGAGUCUGAAUAGGGCGCAUAAGUAACAGGUCGUAGACCCGAAACCAGGUGAUCUACCCAUGUCCAGGAUGAAGGUAAGGUAAUACUUACUGGAGGUCCGAACCCACGCACGUUGAAAAGUGCGGGGAUGAGGUGUGGGUAGCGGAGAAAUUCCAAUCGAACUUGGAGAUAGCUGGUUCUCUCCGAAAUAGCUUUAGGGCUAGCCUCGAGGUAAAGAGUCAUGGAGGUAGAGCACUGUUUGGACUAGGGGCCCUUCUCGGGUUACCGAAUUCAGAUAAACUCCGAAUGCCAUGUACUUAUACUCGGGAGUCAGACUGCGAGUGAUAAGAUCCGUAGUCGAAAGGGAAACAGCCCAGACCACCAGUUAAGGUCCCCAAAUAUAUGUUAAGUGGAAAAGGAUGUGGGGUUGCUUAGACAACCAGGAUGUUGGCUUAGAAGCAGCCACCAUUGAAAGAGUGCGUAAUAGCUCACUGGUCGAGUGACCCCGCGCCGAAAAUGUACCGGGGCUAAACAUAUUACCGAAACUGUGGAUGAACCUCUUUAGAGGUUCGUGGUAGGAGAGCGUUCUAAGGGCGGUGAAGUCAGACCGGAAGGACUGGUGGAGCGCUUAGAAGUGAGAAUGCCGGUAUGAGUAGCGAAAGAAGGGUGAGAAUCCCUUCCACCGAAUAUCUAAGGUUUCCUGAGGAAGGCUCGUCCGCUCAGGGUUAGUCGGGACCUAAGCCGAGGCCGAUAGGCGUAGGCGAUGGACAACAGGUAGAGAUUCCUGUACCAGUGCUAAUUGUUUAACCGAUGGGGUGACACAGAAGGAUAGGGAAUCGCACGAAUGGAAAUGUGC